AGUGAACGCUGGCGGUAGGCCUAACACAUGCAAGUCGAACGGCAGCACAGUAAGAGCUUGCUCUUACGGGUGGCGAGUGGCGGACGGGUGAGGAAUACAUCGGAAUCUACUUUUUCGUGGGGGAUAACGUAGGGAAACUUACGCUAAUACCGCAUACGACCUACGGGUUAAAGCAGGGGAUCUUCGGACCUUUCGCGAUUGAAUGAGCCGAUGUCGGAUUAGCUAGUUGGCGGGGUAAAGGCCCACCAAGGCGACGAUCCGUAGCUGGUCUGAGAGGAUGAUCAGCCACACUGGAACUGAGACACGGUCCAGACUCCUACGGGAGGCAGCAGUGGGGAAUAUUGGACAAUGGGCGCAAGCCUGAUCCAGCCAUACCGCGUGGGUGAAGAAGGCCUUCGGGUUGUAAAGCCCUUUUGUUGGGAAAGAAAAGCAGCAGGUUAAUACCCCGCUGUUCUGACGGUACCCAAAGAAUAAGCACCGGCUAACUUCGUG
RNAcentral lists this ribosomal RNA (492 nucleotides) under uncultured bacterium. Its description in RNAcentral is "partial 16S ribosomal RNA". It matches the Rfam family "Bacterial small subunit ribosomal RNA", at positions 29 to 507 of the family's 1533-position model. The record is from RNAcentral.